This 411-nucleotide ribosomal RNA is filed under the name Actinomycetes bacterium. RNAcentral describes it as "Actinobacteria bacterium partial 16S ribosomal RNA". It matches the Rfam family "Bacterial small subunit ribosomal RNA", at positions 355 to 776 of the family's 1533-position model. Lineage: Bacteria; Bacillati; Actinomycetota; Actinomycetes. The record is from RNAcentral.
UGGGGAAUAUUGCACAAUGGGCGCAAGCCUGAUGCAGCGACGCCGCGUGGGGGAUGACGGCCUUCGGGUUGUAAACCCCUUUCGCUAGGGACGAAGCUUUUUGUGACGGUACCUAGAUAAGAAGCACCGGCCAACUACGUGCCAGCAGCCGCGGUAAUACGUAGGGUGUGAGCGGUGUCCGGAAUUACUGGGCGUAAAGGGCUCGUAGGUGGGUUGUUGCGUCGUCUGUUAAAUUCCGGGGCUUAACUCCGGGCGUGCAGGCGAUACGGGCAUAGCUUGAGUACUGUAGAGGUAACUGGAAUUCCUGGUGUAGCGGUGAAAUGCGCAGAUAUCAGGAGGAACACCGAUGGCGAAGGCAGGUUACUGGGCAGUUACUGACGCUGAGGAGCGAAAGCAUGGGUAGCGAACAGG